Molecule: long non-coding RNA, 228 nt
Filed under: Linum usitatissimum (flax)
Lineage: Eukaryota; Viridiplantae; Streptophyta; Magnoliopsida; Malpighiales; Linaceae
Description: long non-coding RNA (LUSI_LNC000328)
Source: RNAcentral
CUAUGGUCGGUUUUCCGUUAUUUGGAUAAAUUUAAGCUUGCUAGGUAUAUUUUUAGAAAGUUGAAGUCUGACUGGGGGUAGGUUAAAAAAAAGGUUGAGUGCAUAACACACUACAUGAUUUCUGAAAUGAAAAAAGAAGGCAAUUUUAUACUGGGUUUUAUUUCAUAAUCAAAAUUAAAAUGGAUGGUUAUUUGGUGCUUGCUGAUUUGACGUGAUCUUUGACUGAUC